Molecule: ribosomal RNA, 467 nt
Filed under: uncultured bacterium
Lineage: Bacteria
Description: partial 16S ribosomal RNA
Rfam family: Bacterial small subunit ribosomal RNA
Source: RNAcentral
GGCCAGACUCCUACGGGAGGCAGCAGUGAGGAAUAUUGGUCAAUGGGAGAGAUCCUGAACCAGCCAAGCCGCGUGAGGGAAGACGGCCCUAUGGGUUGUAAACCUCUUUUGUCGGAGAACAAAACCCGGGACGUGUCCCGGACUGCGUGUAUCCGAAGAAAAAGCAUCGGCUAACUCCGUGCCAGCAGCCGCGGUAAUACGUAUGGUGCAAGCGUUAUCCGGAUUUACUGGGCGUAAAGGGAGCGCAGGCGGCGCGCCAAGUCUGAUGUGAAACCCCGGGGCUCAACCCCGGGCAUGCAUUGGAAACUGGCGGGCUGGAGUGCCGGAGAGGUAAGCGGAAUUCCUAGUGUAGCGGUGAAAUGCGUAGAUAUUAGGAGGAACACCAGUGGCGAAGGCGGCUUACUGGACGGCAACUGACGCUGAGGCUCGAAAGCGUGGGGAGCAAACAGGAUUAGAUACCCCCGUAG